AAAGAGUCCUGUGGUUUGGAUAAAUGGCAUUCCUAGUGCAACAAAUGUGUGCGAUUUUAACAAAGAUCAACUCUGCCUCUUUGAUGGUCACCCUUUUAAUGAUCCAAUGAUAGCUCUAGAAUCCUCGUGCGAUGGAAAACCAGUUCACAUUUGCAUACAUAAUAUACUGCUUACAAUUUCAGCAGUUGAAAGACUUGGUAGAAAACGUGCCCUUCUCAAAACAACUGGGGGAUCUGAUUGUAUUGUUGUUGUUUGGGGAGAUAGGUGUUAGUACUUGGGAUUGUCCCCCCUCACCCACAGUCCUGCAUAUGCUAGGCAAAUGUUCUUCCGCUGAGCUACAUUCACAGCCUCUGAGGGACACUGUGUGUGUGUGUGUGUGUGUGUGUGUGUG
Long non-coding RNA from Perognathus longimembris pacificus (Pacific pocket mouse), 391 nucleotides. RefSeq lists it as uncharacterized. The transcript has 3 exons. The record is from RefSeq and is a predicted model, not a curated record. Lineage: Eukaryota; Metazoa; Chordata; Mammalia; Rodentia; Heteromyidae.